RNAcentral lists this ribosomal RNA (1335 nucleotides) under Microbacterium hatanonis. RNAcentral's name for it is "bacterial SSU rRNA". It matches the Rfam family "Bacterial small subunit ribosomal RNA", at positions 80 to 1426 of the family's 1533-position model. The record is from RNAcentral. Lineage: Bacteria; Bacillati; Actinomycetota; Actinomycetes; Micrococcales; Microbacteriaceae.
UAGCUCUUUGGAUCAGUGGCGAACGGGUGCAGUAACACGUGAGCAAUCUGCCCCUGACUCUGGGAUAACAGUUGGAAACAGCUGCUAAUACCGGAUAUGAGACGUGACCGCAUGGUCGACGUUUGGAAAGAAUUUCGGUCAGGGAUGAGCUCGCGGCCUAUCAGCUUGUUGGUGAGGUAAUGGCUCACCAAGGCGUCGACGGGUAGCCGGCCUGAGAGGGUGACCGGCCACACUGGGACUGAGACACGGCCCAGACUCCUACGGGAGGCAGCAGUGGGGAAUAUUGCACAAUGGGCGAAAGCCUGAUGCAGCAACGCCGCGUGAGGGACGACGGCCUUCGGGUUGUAAACCUCUUUUAGCAGGGAAGAAGCGAAAGUGACGGUACCUGCAGAAAAAGCGCCGGCUAACUACGUGCCAGCAGCCGCGGUAAUACGUAGGGCGCAAGCGUUAUCCGGAAUUAUUGGGCGUAAAGAGCUCGUAGGCGGUUUGUCGCGUCUGCUGUGAAAACUGGAGGCUCAACCUCCAGCCUGCAGUGGGUACGGGCAGACUAGAGUGCGGUAGGGGAGAUUGGAAUUCCUGGUGUAGCGGUGGAAUGCGCAGAUAUCAGGAGGAACACCGAUGGCGAAGGCAGAUCUCUGGGCCGUAACUGACGCUGAGGAGCGAAAGGGUGGGGAGCAAACAGGCUUAGAUACCCUGGUAGUCCACCCCGUAAACGUUGGGAACUAGUUGUGGGGUCCAUUCCACGGAUUCCGUGACGCAGCUAACGCAUUAAGUUCCCCGCCUGGGGAGUACGGCCGCAAGGCUAAAACUCAAAGGAAUUGACGGGGACCCGCACAAGCGGCGGAGCAUGCGGAUUAAUUCGAUGCAACGCGAAGAACCUUACCAAGGCUUGACAUAUACGAGAACGGGCUAGAAAUAGUCAACUCUUUGGACACUCGUAAACAGGUGGUGCAUGGUUGUCGUCAGCUCGUGUCGUGAGAUGUUGGGUUAAGUCCCGCAACGAGCGCAACCCUCGUUCUAUGUUGCCAGCACGUAAUGGUGGGAACUCAUGGGAUACUGCCGGGGUCAACUCGGAGGAAGGUGGGGAUGACGUCAAAUCAUCAUGCCCCUUAUGUCUUGGGCUUCACGCAUUCUACAAUGGCCGGUACAAAGGGCUGCAAUACCGUAAGGUGGAGCGAAUCCCAAAAAGCCGGUCCCAGUUCGGAUUGAGGUCUGCAACUCGACCUCAUGAAGUCGGAGUCGCUAGUAAUCGCAGAUCAGCAACGCUGCGGUGAAUACGUUCCCGGGUCUUGUACACACCGCCCGUCUAGUCAUGAAAGUCGGUAACACCUGAAG